Molecule: transfer RNA, 73 nt
Filed under: Actinomycetes bacterium
Lineage: Bacteria; Bacillati; Actinomycetota; Actinomycetes
Also listed under: 1 other name
Description: Actinobacteria bacterium tRNA-Gly
Rfam family: tRNA
About the family: Transfer RNA (tRNA) molecules are approximately 80 nucleotides in length.
Source: RNAcentral
GCGGACGUAGCUCAGUCGGUAGAGCAUUGGCUUCCCAAGCCAAGGGUCGCGGGUUCGAGCCCCGUCGUCCGCU